GCGCCCGCUUCCACAGCACAUACACUAAAAUUGGGACGACACAGAGAUGCGCAGGGACCCUGUGCGAGGAUGACACGCAAAUUCGUGACGCGUUCCAUGUUUUU
Small nuclear RNA from Pteronotus mesoamericanus, 104 nucleotides. The record is from RefSeq and is a predicted model, not a curated record. Lineage: Eukaryota; Metazoa; Chordata; Mammalia; Chiroptera; Mormoopidae.